This 433-nucleotide ribosomal RNA is filed under the name uncultured bacterium. RNAcentral's name for it is "partial 16S ribosomal RNA". It matches the Rfam family "Bacterial small subunit ribosomal RNA", at positions 29 to 507 of the family's 1533-position model. The record is from RNAcentral.
AACGAACGCUGGCGGCAUGCCUAACACAUGCAAGUCGAACGAGACCUUCGGGUCUAGUGGCGCACGGGUGCGUAACGCGUGGGAACCUGCCCUUAGGUUCGGCAUAACUCCCCGAAAGGGGUGCUAAUACCGGAUAAUGUCUUCGGACCAAAGAUUUAUCGCCUUUGGAUGGGCCCGCGUUGGAUUAGCUAGUUGGUAGGGUAAAAGCCUACCAAGGCGACGAUCCAUAGCUGGUCUGAGAGGAUGAUCAGCCACACUGGGACUGAGACACGGCCCAGACUCCUACGGGAGGCAGCAGUGGGGAAUAUUGGACAAUGGGCGAAAGCCUGAUCCAGCAAUGCCGCGUGAGUGAUGAAGGCCUUAGGGUUGUAAAGCUCUUUUACCCGGGAUGAUAAUGACAGUACCGGGAGAAUAAGCACCGGCUAACUCCGUG